This 646-nucleotide ribosomal RNA is filed under the name Xylaria berteroi. RNAcentral's name for it is "partial large subunit ribosomal RNA". It matches the Rfam family "Eukaryotic large subunit ribosomal RNA", at positions 79 to 750 of the family's 3401-position model. The record is from RNAcentral. Lineage: Eukaryota; Fungi; Ascomycota; Sordariomycetes; Xylariales; Xylariaceae.
CCUAGUAACGGCGAGUGAAGCGGCAACAGCUCAAAUUUGAAAUCUGGCCCUCGGGUCCGAGUUGUAAUUUGUAGAGGAUGCUUUUGGCGCGGUGCCUUCCGAGUUCCCUGGAACGGGACGCCUUAGAGGGUGAGAGCCCCGUACGGUUGGACACCAAGCCUCUGUAAAGCUCCUUCGACGAGUCGAGUAGUUUGGGAAUGCUGCUCUAAAUGGGAGGUAAAUUUCUUCUAAAGCUAAAUAUUGGCCAGAGACCGAUAGCGCACAAGUAGAGUGAUCGAAAGAUGAAAAGCACUUUGAAAAGAGGGUUAAAUAGCACGUGAAAUUGUUGAAAGGGAAGCGUUUGCGACCAGACCUUUUCCUAGCGGAUCAACCGGUGUUCUCACCGGUGCACUUCGCUAGGUUUAGGCCAGCAUCGGUUUCUGUAGGGGGAUAAAAGCUCUGGGAACGUAGCUCCUCCGGGAGUGUUAUAGCCCUCUGCAUAAUACCCUUACGGGGACCGAGGACCGCGCUUCGGCAAGGAUGCUGGCGUAAUGGUCGUCAACGACCCGUCUUGAAACACGGACCAAGGAGUCGAACAUUUGUGCGAGUGUUUGGGUGUUAAACCCUCACGCGUAAUGAAAGUGAACGGAGGUGAGAGCCCUUACGG